GUUGUUUUAGUUUAAAAUAAAAAAAUAAGUAAUUUGUAAUUAUUAGAUAUGGAUAACU
This 58-nucleotide transfer RNA is filed under the name Ascaridia columbae. Its description in RNAcentral is "tRNA-Thr". The record is from RNAcentral. Lineage: Eukaryota; Metazoa; Nematoda; Chromadorea; Rhabditida; Ascaridiidae.